AUUGAACGCUGGCGGCAGGCCUAACACAUGCAAGUCGAGCGGAUGAAGGGAGCUUGCUCCUGGAUUCAGCGGCGGACGGGUGAGUAAUGCCUAGGAAUCUGCCUGGUAGUGGGGGAUAACGUCCGGAAACGGGCGCUAAUACCGCAUACGUCCUGAGGGAGAAAGUGGGGGAUCUUCGGACCUCACGCUAUCAGAUGAGCCUAGGUCGGAUUAGCUAGUUGGUGGGGUAAAGGCCUACCAAGGCGACGAUCCGUAGCUGGUCUGAGAGGAUGAUCAGUCACACUGGAACUGAGACACGGUCCAGACUCCUACGGGAGGCAGCAGUGGGGAAUAUUGGACAAUGGGCGCAAGCCUGAUCCAGCCAUGCCGCGUGUGUGAAGAAGGUCUUCGGAUUGUAAAGCACUUUAAGUUGGGAGGAAGGGCAGUAAGUUAAUACCUUGCUGUUUUGACGUUACCAACAGAAUAAGCACCGGCUAACUUCGUG
This 484-nucleotide ribosomal RNA is filed under the name uncultured bacterium. Its description in RNAcentral is "partial 16S ribosomal RNA". It matches the Rfam family "Bacterial small subunit ribosomal RNA", at positions 30 to 507 of the family's 1533-position model. The record is from RNAcentral.